CCUACGGGAGGCAGCAGUGGGGAAUAUUGCACAAUGGGGGAAACCCUGAUGCAGCGACGCCGCGUGAGUGAAGAAGUAUUUCGGUAUGUAAAGCUCUAUCAGCAGGGAAGAAAAUGACGGUACCUGAUUAAGAAGCCCCGGCUAACUACGUGCCAGCAGCCGCGGUAAUACGUAGGGGGCAAGCGUUAUCCGGAUUUACUGGGUGUAAAGGGAGCGUAGACGGCAGCACAAGUCUGGAGUGAAAUGCCGGGGCUUAACCCCGGGCCUGCUUUGGAAACUGUGCAGCUUGAGUGCAGGAGAGGUAAGUGGAAUUCCUAGUGUAGCGGUGAAAUGCGUAGAUAUUAGGAGGAACACCAGUGGCGAAGGCGGCUUACUGGACUGUAACUGACGUUGAGGCUCGAAAGCGUGGGGAGCAAACAGGAUUAGAUACCCCUGUAGUC
This 440-nucleotide ribosomal RNA is filed under the name uncultured bacterium. RNAcentral describes it as "partial 16S ribosomal RNA". It matches the Rfam family "Bacterial small subunit ribosomal RNA", at positions 338 to 795 of the family's 1533-position model. The record is from RNAcentral.